GAUGAACGCUGGCGGCGUGCCUAAUACAUGCAAGUCGAGCGAACAGAUGAGGAGCUUGCUCCUCUGACGUUAGCGGCGGACGGGUGAGUAACACGUGGAUAACCUACCUAUAAGACUGGGAUAACUACGGGAAACCGGAGCUAAUACCGGAUAAUAUAUUGAACCGCAUGGUUCAAUAGUGAAAGACGGUUUUGCUGUCACUUAUAGAUGGAUCCGCGCCGCAUUAGCUAGUUGGUAAGGUAACGGCUUACCAAGGCAACGAUGCGUAGCCGACCUGAGAGGGUGAUCGGCCACAGUGGACAGGAGACACGGACAAGACUCCAACGGGAGGAACCAGAAGGGAAUCUUCCGAAAGGGGCGAAACCCUGAGGGAGCAACGCCGCGUGAGGAAUAAGGGUCUAGGGAUCGAAAAACUGUGUUUUGGGGAAAAAAAAAAUGUGAAAGUAACUAUGCACGUCUGGAGGGUACCUAAUAAGAAAGCCCGGACAAACUACGUC
RNAcentral lists this ribosomal RNA (497 nucleotides) under uncultured bacterium. RNAcentral's name for it is "partial 16S ribosomal RNA". It matches the Rfam family "Bacterial small subunit ribosomal RNA", at positions 28 to 507 of the family's 1533-position model. The record is from RNAcentral.